AUACGUAGGUGGCAAGCGUUGUCCGGAAUUAUUGGGCGUAAAGCGCGCGCAGGCGGUCCUUUAAGUCUGAUGUGAAAGCCCACGGCUCAACCGUGGAGGGUCAUUGGAAACUGGGGGACUUGAGUGCAGAAGAGGAAAGUGGAAUUCCAAGUGUAGCGGUGAAAUGCGUAGAGAUUUGGAGGAACACCAGUGGCGAAGGCGACUUUCGGGUCUGUAACUGACGCUGGGGCGCGAAAGCGGGGGGAGCAAACAGGAUUAGAUACCCUGGUAGUCCACGCCGUAAACGAUGAGUGCUAAGUGUUAGGGGGUUUCCGCCCCUUAGUGCUGCAGCUAACGCAUUAAGCACUCCGCCUGGGGAGUACGGUCGCGAGACUGAAACUCAAAUGAAUUGACGGGG
This 397-nucleotide ribosomal RNA is filed under the name uncultured bacterium. RNAcentral's name for it is "partial 16S ribosomal RNA". It matches the Rfam family "Bacterial small subunit ribosomal RNA", at positions 523 to 918 of the family's 1533-position model. The record is from RNAcentral.